UUACAAUGGAGAGUUUGAUCCUGGCUCAGGAUGAACGCUAGCGGCAGGCCUAAUACAUGCAAGUCGGACGGGAUCCAU
RNAcentral lists this ribosomal RNA (78 nucleotides) under Sphingobacterium mizutaii. Its description in RNAcentral is "16S rRNA. Bacterial SSU". It matches the Rfam family "Bacterial small subunit ribosomal RNA", at positions 1 to 76 of the family's 1533-position model. The record is from RNAcentral. Lineage: Bacteria; Pseudomonadati; Bacteroidota; Sphingobacteriia; Sphingobacteriales; Sphingobacteriaceae.